Molecule: long non-coding RNA, 453 nt
Filed under: Arabidopsis lyrata
Lineage: Eukaryota; Viridiplantae; Streptophyta; Magnoliopsida; Brassicales; Brassicaceae
Description: long non-coding RNA (ALYR_LNC001466)
Source: RNAcentral
UAUCGAGUCAAAAUUGUGUCUUUUAUUGAGUCAAAAUUGUUUGAGAACUAUGAUCUUUUCUUGGGGAAUUGCACUUUGUUUGAUUUCAUUGCCUUGGGACCAUUUUAGCACUAUUCGAUAACUUGGAAGUUCAGGAAAAUCCAUCACUUGAUCACUCUAUAGUAGUCCCUAUCUCUUUGAAAUUUGGAUGAAUUGAGCUUAAUCUUAUAUACUUGAACUUAAUAUGGACUUAAUUUGUCUCACUUAGGGGCUUGAGAAUCAUGUAAUGGAUCAUACAUUCAGAGUUUUGUUCGCAUCAUUUUUACCACUCUUUGCUAACUCUGAAUGGCUAGACUCAUUUUUAGUCUAGUACCGCACCUGUUUCCCCACCCAUUGUUUGAAACCUCAUGCAUUCUUAUAUGAUCAUCAUGAUAUGCAUCCAUGUGCGAAAACUACGGAGUAUACGGACCGACA